RNAcentral lists this ribosomal RNA (1327 nucleotides) under Lactobacillus sp. RNAcentral's name for it is "bacterial SSU rRNA". It matches the Rfam family "Bacterial small subunit ribosomal RNA", at positions 91 to 1405 of the family's 1533-position model. Lineage: Bacteria; Bacillati; Bacillota; Bacilli; Lactobacillales; Lactobacillaceae. The record is from RNAcentral.
GUGAGUGGCGAACUGGUGAGUAACACGUGGGAAACCUGCCCAGAAGCGGGGGAUAACACCUGGAAACAGAUGCUAAUACCGCAUAACAACUUGGACCGCAUGGUCCGAGCUUGAAAGAUGGCUUCGGCUAUCACUUUUGGAUGGUCCCGCGGCGUAUUAGCUAGAUGGUGGGGUAACGGCUCACCAUGGCAAUGAUACGUAGCCGACCUGAGAGGGUAAUCGGCCACAUUGGGACUGAGACACGGCCCAAACUCCUACGGGAGGCAGCAGUAGGGAAUCUUCCACAAUGGACGAAAGUCUGAUGGAGCAACGCCGCGUGAGUGAAGAAGGGUUUCGGCUCGUAAAACUCUGUUGUUAAAGAAGAACAUAUCUGAGAGUAACUGUUCAGGUAUUGACGGUAUUUAACCAGAAAGCCACGGCUAACUACGUGCCAGCAGCCGCGGUAAUACGUAGGUGGCAAGCGUUGUCCGGAUUUAUUGGGCGUAAAGCGAGCGCAGGCGGUUUUUUAAGUCUGAUGUGAAAGCCUUCGGCUCAACCGAAGAAGUGCAUCGGAAACUGGGAAACUUGAGUGCAGAAGAGGACAGUGGAACUCCAUGUGUAGCGGUGAAAUGCGUAGAUAUAUGGAAGAACACCAGUGGCGAAGGCGGCUGUCUGGUCUGUAACUGACGCUGAGGCUCGAAAGUAUGGGUAGCAAACAGGAUUAGAUACCCUGGUAGUCCAUACCGUAAACGAUGAAUGCUAAGUGUUGGAGGGUUUCCGCCCUUCAGUGCUGCAGCUAACGCAUUAAGCAUUCCGCCUGGGGAGUACGGCCGCAAGGCUGAAACUCAAAGGAAUUGACGGGGGCCCGCACAAGCGGUGGAGCAUGUGGUUUAAUUCGAAGCUACGCGAAGAACCUUACCAGGUCUUGACAUACUAUGCAAAUCUAAGAGAUUAGACGUUCCCUUCGGGGACAUGGAUACAGGUGGUGCAUGGUUGUCGUCAGCUCGUGUCGUGAGAUGUUGGGUUAAGUCCCGCAACGAGCGCAACCCUUAUUAUCAGUUGCCAGCAUUAAGUUGGGCACUCUGGUGAGACUGCCGGUGACAAACCGGAGGAAGGUGGGGAUGACGUCAAAUCAUCAUGCCCCUUAUGACCUGGGCUACACACGUGCUACAAUGGAUGGUACAACGAGUUGCGAACUCGCGAGAGUAAGCUAAUCUCUUAAAGCCAUUCUCAGUUCGGAUUGUAGGCUGCAACUCGCCUACAUGAAGUCGGAAUCGCUAGUAAUCGCGGAUCAGCAUGCCGCGGUGAAUACGUUCCCGGGCCUUGUACACACCGCCCGUCACACCAU